CCACGGGACCCCGACC
Molecule: ribosomal RNA, 16 nt
Filed under: Musa acuminata (dwarf banana)
Lineage: Eukaryota; Viridiplantae; Streptophyta; Magnoliopsida; Zingiberales; Musaceae
Description: partial 26S ribosomal RNA
Source: RNAcentral